UGCCACUGCACAUCUGGCUGGAAGGAUGAAGGGGAAUCUGGAAUGGCAUGAUUCUUCUCUGAUGUUGUGGAAGGCAUGGAAAACUGGGCUCUGAAGAAUCCCACACCGUUAAGUACGAGCUCAGGGCCAGUCUUGGUUAGGAGGA
Molecule: long non-coding RNA, 145 nt
Filed under: Mus pahari (shrew mouse)
Lineage: Eukaryota; Metazoa; Chordata; Mammalia; Rodentia; Muridae
Description: lncRNA (MGP_PahariEiJ_G0004595.1)
Source: RNAcentral